GCGGAUGUGGCGAAACUGGUAGACGCACUGGCUUCAGGUGCCAGCGCCCGCAAGGGCAUGAGAGUUCGAAUCUCUCCAUCCGCA
RNAcentral lists this transfer RNA (84 nucleotides) under Candidatus Magasanikiibacteriota bacterium. RNAcentral's name for it is "tRNA-Leu". It matches the Rfam family "tRNA". Rfam says of the family: Transfer RNA (tRNA) molecules are approximately 80 nucleotides in length. Their secondary structure includes four short double-helical elements and three loops (D, anti-codon, and T loops). Further hydrogen bonds mediate the characteristic L-shaped molecular structure. tRNAs have two regions of fundamental functional importance: the anti-codon, which is responsible for specific mRNA codon recognition, and the 3' end, to which the tRNAs corresponding amino acid is attached (by aminoacyl-tRNA synthetases). tRNAs cope with the degeneracy of the genetic code in two manners: having more than one tRNA (with a specific anti-codon) for a particular amino acid; and 'wobble' base-pairing, i.e. permitting non-standard base-pairing at the 3rd anti-codon position. The record is from RNAcentral. Lineage: Bacteria; Candidatus Magasanikiibacteriota.